Molecule: ribosomal RNA, 468 nt
Filed under: uncultured bacterium
Lineage: Bacteria
Description: partial 16S ribosomal RNA
Rfam family: Bacterial small subunit ribosomal RNA
Source: RNAcentral
GACGAACGCUGGCGGCGUGCUUAACUCAUGCAAGUCGAACGGAAAGGCCCUGCUUUUGUGGGGUGCUCGAGUGGCGAACGGGUGAGUAACACGUGAGUAACCUUCCCUUUACUUUGUGAUAACUUCAGGAAACUAGGGCUAAUACCUGAUAGGAGCUCCUGCUGCAUGGUGGGGUUUGGAAAGUUUCGGCGGUUGGGGAUGGACUCGCGGCUUAUCAGCUUGUUGGUGGGGUAGUGGCUUACCAAGGCUUUGACGGGUAGCCGGCCUGAGAGGGUGAACGGCGACAUUGGGACUGAGAUACGGCCCAGACUCCUACGGGAGGCAGCAGUGGGGAAUAUUGCACAAUGGGCGGAAGCCUGAUGCAGCAACGCCGCGUGCGGGAUGAAGGCCUUCGGGUUGUAAACCGCUUUCGCCUGUGACGAAGCGUGAGUGACGGUAAUGGGUAAAGAAGCACCGGCUAACUACGUG